This 253-nucleotide ribosomal RNA is filed under the name uncultured bacterium. Its description in RNAcentral is "partial 16S ribosomal RNA". It matches the Rfam family "Bacterial small subunit ribosomal RNA", at positions 524 to 776 of the family's 1533-position model. The record is from RNAcentral.
UACGAAGGGGGCUAGCGUUGUUCGGAAUUACUGGGCGUAAAGCGCACGUAGGCGGAUUUGUAAGUUGGGGGUGAAAUCCCCGGGCUCAACCCGGGAACUGCCUUCAAGACUGCAAGUCUGGAGAUCAGGAGAGGCGAGUGGAAUACCGAGUGUAGAGGUGAAAUUCGUAGAUAUUCGGUGGAACACCAGUGGCGAAGGCGACUCGCUGGACUGAUACUGACGCUGAGGUGCGAAAGCGUGGGGAGCAAACAGG